CGGCGCUGCAGGCGGGGCCUGCCCCGCACGUCACCGGCAAGAUGGCGGCGCCCGGCUGGCCUAGCCUGGCGGAGCGGGGGAGCCCCCUGCCCCAACUCGGAGGGAUGAUGAGUUUGGGAAGAGGGAAUAAGAUGUACUCAGAUAAUACAGUGAUGAGAAGCAGUAUAUAACCCUCAGAUAGAAGGAUAAGAGACUUGUG
This 199-nucleotide long non-coding RNA is filed under the name Gopherus agassizii (Agassiz's desert tortoise). Its description in RNAcentral is "lncRNA (ENSGAGG00000009367.1)". The record is from RNAcentral. Lineage: Eukaryota; Metazoa; Chordata; Testudines; Testudinidae.